GAUGAACGCUGGCGGUAUGCUUAACACAUGCAAGUCGAACAGUACCUUCGGGUAUAGUGGCGGACGGGUGAGUAACGCGUGAGAAUCUAUCUUCAGGUCGGGGACAACAGUUAGAAAUGACUGCUAAUACCGGAUGUGCCGAAAGGUAAAAGAUUUAUUGCCUGAAAAAGAGCUCGCGUCAGAUUAGCUAGUAGGUGGUGUAAGAGACUACCUAGGCUUCGAUCUGUAGCUGGUCUGAGAGGACGAUCAGCCACACUGGAACUGAGACACGGUCCAGACUCCUACGGGAGGCAGCAGUGGGGAAUUUUCCGCAAUGGGCGAAAGCCUGACGGAGCAAUACCGCGUGAGGGACGAAGGCUGUUGGGUCGUAAACCUCUUUUCUCAAGGAAGAUUCAGACGGUACUUGAGGAAUAAGCAUCGGCUAACUCUGUG
RNAcentral lists this ribosomal RNA (432 nucleotides) under uncultured bacterium. Its description in RNAcentral is "partial 16S ribosomal RNA". It matches the Rfam family "Bacterial small subunit ribosomal RNA", at positions 28 to 507 of the family's 1533-position model. The record is from RNAcentral.